GACGUAGGAGGCGAGCGUUAUCCGGAUUUACUGGGCGUAAAGGGCAAGUAGGCGGCGGUUCAAGUUGGACGUGACAUCUCCCGGCUCAACUGGGAGGGGUCGUUCAAAACUGGGUCGCUGGAGGGCAGGAGAGGGAAGCGGAAUUCCUGGUGUAGCGGUGGAAUGCUCAGAUACCAGGAGGAACACCAGUGGCGAAGGCGGCUUCCUGGCCUGUACCUGACGCUGAGAGGCGAAAGCCAGGGGAGCGAACGGGCUUAGAUACC
RNAcentral lists this ribosomal RNA (263 nucleotides) under uncultured bacterium. RNAcentral describes it as "partial 16S ribosomal RNA". It matches the Rfam family "Bacterial small subunit ribosomal RNA", at positions 524 to 786 of the family's 1533-position model. The record is from RNAcentral.